GUUUGCCAGGCUAAGGUGCAAAACUGAGCAGAGAAGUUCAAAUACAGAAAUAGAGAUGCAGAAAACAUUGAACUGGGCUCAGAGGCAAUGUGGGAAAACAUAGAGGAAGAAAUUACAGCAUUGUCGGCAUGCUCUGUGAAUUCUGGCUCUUCUUACAGGGUCACGGGGAACCUGGAGCCUAUCCCAGGGAGCAUCAGGCACAAGGUGGGGUACACCCUGGACAGGGUGCCAAUCCAUCGCAGGGCACACACACAAUCACAUACACACUACAGACACUUUGUACAUGCCAAUCAGCCUACCAUGCAUGUCUUUGGACUGGGGGAGGAAACCGGAGUACCCAGAGGAAACCCCUGCAGCACGGGGAGAACAUGCAAACUCCGCACACACUGGGCCACAGUGGGAAUCGAACCCCAGACUCUGUAGGUGUGAGGCGAACGUGCUAACCACUAAGCCACCGUGCACCUUCAUUAAGUAAUAAAGCACAAAAUUGAAUUUGUGGUAACUUAAUUACAUUUGAUUGACAACCGAAUUCCCCCACCCACUUCACAUGCCUGGGUGUCAUGGAAUUAGUGAAUUAGAGGUGGAAUGCAAAUGCAGAAUCUCAGUG
Molecule: long non-coding RNA, 607 nt
Organism: Ictalurus punctatus (channel catfish)
Lineage: Eukaryota; Metazoa; Chordata; Actinopteri; Siluriformes; Ictaluridae
Source: Ensembl